RNAcentral lists this transfer RNA (349 nucleotides) under Homo sapiens (human). RNAcentral's name for it is "LHRI_LNC1128.1". The stretch from base 1 to 72 matches the Rfam family "tRNA". Lineage: Eukaryota; Metazoa; Chordata; Mammalia; Primates; Hominidae. The record is from RNAcentral.
CCCGGCUAGCUCAGUCGGUAGAGCAUGAGACUCUUAAUCUCAGGGUCGUGGGUUCGAGCCCCACGUUGGGCGGCAACUGGUCGUUUUAGUCCUAAAUCUACGACUACUAGCCAUACCUAAAAAUAUAUUAUAAGUAGACCAGCUCUUAGGAAAAUAAUCUGCUCUGAAGUCUUGCAUUUCUGUGUGUGUAAUACUCUUGCGGGCGCUCCACUGUUCAUUAUCUACCCAUUAUCUUGCGAUACAAUUAGGAUUUAAAGCUGUGGUAAAAUAUGCCCAACAAAAUUUAACACUUUUUAACUGUACAGUUCUGUAGCAUUAAAUACAUUUAAAUGGUUGUGCAUCAGUCUCC